AAGAGUUGCAAAACUCCAACCAUUGCGAAUGUAACCUAUUACAGUUGCUUCAGCGGGUGGCUCUGAGAGGUGCCGCGCUCCCCCACGGGGGUAUGCCCGCUGGAGUCGUACAAACUCUUAUAUUUGUUGGCAUCUCUGAGUAACUUUACAAUAAGUUA
This 158-nucleotide unclassified non-coding RNA is filed under the name uncultured Sordariales. RNAcentral's name for it is "sequence contains ITS1". Lineage: Eukaryota; Fungi; Ascomycota; Sordariomycetes; Sordariales. The record is from RNAcentral.